UGGCAAGUUUUGUGCCAGCAGCCGCGGUAAUUCCAGCUCCAAUAGCGUAUAUUAAAGUUGUUGCAGUUAAAAAGCUCGUAGUUGAACCUUGGGCUUGGUUGGCCGGUCCGCUUUAUGGCGAGUACUGGACCCAACCGAGCCUUUCCUUCUGGCUAACCAUUCGCCCUUGUGGUGUUUGGCGAACCAGGACUUUUACUUUGAAAAAAUUAGAGUGUUCAAAGCAGGCCUUUGCUCGAAUAUAUUAGCAUGGAAUAAUAGAAUAGGACGUUAUGGUUCUAUUUUGUUGGUUUCUAGGACCAUCGUAAUGAUUAAUAGGGACGGUCGGGGGCAUCAGUAUUCAGUUGUCAGAGGUGAAAUUCUUGGAUUUACUGAAGACUAACUACUGCGAAAGCAUUGCCAAGGACGUUUCAUAUCAAGAUCGAAAUGG
RNAcentral lists this ribosomal RNA (427 nucleotides) under uncultured fungus. Its description in RNAcentral is "SSU rRNA". It matches the Rfam family "Eukaryotic small subunit ribosomal RNA", at positions 553 to 991 of the family's 1831-position model. Lineage: Eukaryota; Fungi. The record is from RNAcentral.